GUCAAACCGGCGACUGCGUUGGCGUUGCGGGCUCGGUCCGUCGGUGCCCCACAAAGGGCUAUCGGCGUGUCAACCGGCCCGCCCGUCCCCUCCUUCUGGAUUCCCGUUCCUGCUAUUGAGUUAGUGGGGACGUCACAGGGGGCUCAUCGUCGUCGUGCUCAAAACCGUGGCGGCGGUGGUUCCCUGGGGCCCAGAUCGUUUACCGUGAAAAAAUUAGAGUGUUCAAAGCAGGCAGAUCCAAUUUUCUGCCACCGAAUACAUUAGCAUGGGAUAAUGGAAUAGGACCCUGUCCUCCUAUUUUCAGUUGGUUUAGGGACUAGGGUAAUGAUUUAAUAGGGAUAGUUGGGGGCAUUAAUAUUUAAUUGUCAGAGGUGAAAUUCUUGGAUUUAUGAAAGAUUAACUUCUGCGAAAGCAUCUGCCAAGGAUGUUUUCAUUAAUCAAGAACGAAAGUUAGGGGAUCGAAGACGAUCAGAUACCGUCGUAGUCUUAACCAUAAACGAUGCCGACCAGCGAUUAGGAGACGUUGAAUACAAAACACCACCAUCGGUGCGGUCGUCCUUGGCGUCGGUCUUUCGGGGCCGGCGCGGGGACGGCUUAGCCCGGUGGCACCGGUGAAUGACUCCCCUAGCAGCUUGUGAGAAAUCAUAAGUCUUUGGGUUCCGGGGGGAGUAUGGUCGCAAGGCUGAAACUUAAGGAAUUGACGAAGGCACCACCA
This 715-nucleotide ribosomal RNA is filed under the name Acanthamoeba sp. Esbc4. RNAcentral describes it as "SSU rRNA". It matches the Rfam family "Eukaryotic small subunit ribosomal RNA", at positions 709 to 1172 of the family's 1831-position model. Lineage: Eukaryota; Discosea; Longamoebia; Acanthamoebidae. The record is from RNAcentral.